RNAcentral lists this ribosomal RNA (463 nucleotides) under Fusarium verticillioides. Its description in RNAcentral is "eukaryotic LSU rRNA". The stretch from base 113 to 266 matches the Rfam family "5.8S ribosomal RNA". Lineage: Eukaryota; Fungi; Ascomycota; Sordariomycetes; Hypocreales; Nectriaceae. The record is from RNAcentral.
AUACGUUGCCUCGGCGGAUCAGCCCGCGCCCCGUAAAACGGGACGGCCCGCCCGAGGACCCCUAAACUCUGUUUUUAGUGGAACUUCUGAGUAAAACAAACAAAUAAAUCAAAACUUUCAACAACGGAUCUCUUGGUUCUGGCAUCGAUGAAGAACGCAGCAAAAUGCGAUAAGUAAUGUGAAUUGCAGAAUUCAGUGAAUCAUCGAAUCUUUGAACGCACAUUGCGCCCGCCAGUAUUCUGGCGGGCAUGCCUGUUCGAGCGUCAUUUCAACCCUCAAGCUCAGCUUGGUGUUGGGACUCGCGGUAACCCGCGUUCCCCAAAUCGAUUGGCGGUCACGUCGAGCUUCCAUAGCGUAGUAAUCAUACACCUCGUUACUGGUAAUCGUCGCGGCCACGCCGUAAAACCCCAACUUCUGAAUGUUGACCUCGGAUCAGGUAGGAAUACCCGCUGAACUUAAGCAU